Molecule: ribosomal RNA, 253 nt
Filed under: uncultured bacterium
Lineage: Bacteria
Description: partial 16S ribosomal RNA
Rfam family: Bacterial small subunit ribosomal RNA
Source: RNAcentral
UACGGAGGGUGCAAGCGUUGUUCGGAUUGACUGGGCGUAAAGGGCGUGUAGGCGGUUGGUCCAGUCUGAUGUGAAAGCCCGGGGCUCAGCCCCGGAAGGGCAUCGGAAACUAGCCAGCUGGAGCGCGAUAGAGGAGGGUGGAAUUCCUGGUGUAGCGGUGAAAUGCGUAGAUAUCAGGAGGAACACCGGCGGCGAAGGCGGCCCUCUGGAUCGUUGCUGACGCUGAGACGCGAAAGCGUGGGGAGCAAACAGG